Molecule: ribosomal RNA, 1334 nt
Filed under: Chitoria chrysolora
Lineage: Eukaryota; Metazoa; Arthropoda; Insecta; Lepidoptera; Nymphalidae
Also listed under: 1 other name
Description: 16S ribosomal RNA
Source: RNAcentral
GGGGGGAAAAUUAAUAAUUUAUAGUUAAUAAAAAAAAUUUUAGUAUUAAAAAUAUAUAAUGGGGGUUAAAGUAUUUUUAAUAGAAAAAAUUUAUAGAUUUAUAGUUUAGUAGUAUUGUAAAAUAAAUUUUAAAUAAGUUAAAUAUUAAAUUAAAUUAAAGUAAAUUUUAUUUAUUGUAUCUUGUGUAUCAGAGUUUAUUAAAAAUUUAAUUUUAUAUAAAAUAAUCUCGAAUUUAAAAGAGUUAAUUAAUUAAUAAAGUUAAUGUUGAAUAAUUAUUUUAAAUAAUUAAUUAGAAAUGAAAUGUUAAUCGUUUUUAAAUAUAUCUAGUUUUUUUAGAAAAAAAUUUAAUUUUAAAUUUAAAUAAUUUUAUAAUUAUUUAAAUUAAUUGUAAAAAUUUAAAAUUUUAUAUAUUAAGGGAUAAGCUUUAAAUUAAAAAUUUAUAAUAAAUAUAAAAAUUAAUUAAAAUUUUUAAAAUUUAUAUUGUUUAAAAAUUAUAAUUUAUUAUAAAAAAUUUUAAUUAAAUUAAAAUUUAAAAAUAAAAUUUAAUUUUUUAUAAGAAAAUAAUUUUUAAUAAAAUAAAAAUUAAUAAUAAUGAUAAAAUUAGUAUAAUUAAUAAUAAAAAAGUAAAUUAAAUAAAAGUUAAGUUAAAGGAAUUCGGCAAAAAUUUAUAUUCACUUGUUUAUCAAAAACAUGUCUUUUUGAGUAAUAAUUUAAAGUCUAAUCUGCCCACUGAUAAUAAAUUAAAGGGCUGCAGUAUAUUGACUGUACAAAGGUAGCAUAAUCAAUAGUCUUUUAAUUGAAGACUUGUAUGAAAGAUUUAAUGAGAUAUAGACUGUCUCUAGUUUAUUAAUAAAAAUUAAUUUUUUAGUUAAAAAGCUAAAAUAAAAUUAAAAGACGAGAAGACCCUAUAGAGUUUUAUAUUUAAUUUAUUUAUAGUAAAAUAUAAAAUUAAUUAUUAAAAUUUAAAUUAAAUAUUUUAUUGGGGUGAUAAAAAAAUUAGAAAAACUUUUUUUAUAAAAAAAACAUAAAUAAAUGAAUAAUUGAUCCAUUAAUAAUGAUUAAAAGAAAAAAUUACCUUAGGGAUAACAGCGUAAUAUUUUUUUUUAGUACAAAUAAAAAAAAAAGUUUGCGACCUCGAUGUUGGAUUAAGAUAAAAUUUAAAUGCAAAAGUUUAAAAUUUUGAUCUGUUCGAUCAUUAAAAUCUUACAUGAUCUGAGUUCAAACCGGUGUGAGCCAGGUUGGUUUCUAUCUUUAAUAAAUUAUAAUAUUUUAGUACGAAAGGAUCAAAUAUUGAAAAUAAUUUUAAUUUAGAGAAUGUUAUUAAUAUAAUUAUA